AUAUAUGAUAACCAUCCUGUAAUAGAGAGUGUGACAAUUUACUUCACAGUGCGUUUCGGGCUGCUAAUUGAUCGUUUCAGUCCAGGGACGAUUUGGAAUAAAUUAUACCCAUCAAAAGGAUAUCACAGCUCAUUUUGGUGGAAGGCUUUCCUUGUCGCUUCGCGUACGUCUUCUGGAGGGCGGACGGCACCCGCGGCCGGGGAGGAGGGGAGGGAGCCGGCGGCGAAGGGAGGCCGGCGGGGCGGGGCCGGCGGGGCGGGGCGGGGCGGGGCGGGACGGGGGCCGCUGGGACGGAGCGGGACGGGGGGCGGGACGGGGGCGGGGCGGGGCCGGCAGGACCGGACGGGACGGGGGGCGGGACGGGAUGGGGCGGGGCCGGCGGGACGGGGCGGGGCCAUCGGGAGCGCGCGCCCGCGCGCCCGCGCCCCGUCAGCUGCAGGUCCGGAGCCGGACGGUAGAGGCCUCCCUUCUGAGGAGGCGGCGCGGCCGCGCGGGGCCGGGGUGAGCGCUCCCAGCCGCGCGUCCUUCCGGACCGGGUCCCUGCGCGGCCCGACCCGGUGCGAGUAUUCCCCACCCGCCGUCCUCCUCCGCAGGCGGCGCCGCCCGUUCUUUGGAGGUGAGAGCGUCGGCCGGGCCGAGGGCCCUGCUGGGGGGUGCUCCGGUGCGCCGGGUCUCCCCCCGGCUCGUCGCCUCCCCAGGGGCGUGGGGUGGGGCGGGGGCGGUGGGCGCGGGAGCGCGGGGCGCUGCUCUCUGAGCCCCGGGAGCGGGACCGCCGCGGCCCCGUGGGGGGCUUUGUGUGCAGCCGGUGGGCGGCUCGGGUGGCCCCGCUUCUCACGCCGCGGCUGGGGAGGGGGCUCGGGGCCGACCCAGGCUCGGGGAGGGGGAGCGCGAGGACAGGGCGAGUCGGGCCUGCGGGCGACGCGAGGCCGCGCGGGGGGCGCCGCUGCCCCAGGUCGCGAGGGAGGAGGGGGGCGCCCUGGGGGACGCGGCCGCCGCGGAGGCCCGAAAGCCUCGGUGCCCGGCCUCUGA
Molecule: long non-coding RNA, 1029 nt
Filed under: Canis lupus familiaris (dog)
Lineage: Eukaryota; Metazoa; Chordata; Mammalia; Carnivora; Canidae
Description: lncRNA (ENSCAFG00040006674.1)
Source: RNAcentral